AAAUCCACAAGAGCAGCAAUUAAUAUUCCCAUUGAAUGACUUUAUUUUUUGUCUCCCUUUUGUUUCCAGCGCCUGCCCCUGGCUCAGCGCCUGGUGCCAACAGAACACCUUUCAGGAUUCACAGCAACGCAGACAACGAGUCCAGAAUCCCGGCCUCUGCUUGGAACAGAACAGUGUCAUGGCGGAGACAACGGCCUUUGUCUUGCUGGGUGUGAAAACAUCCGCUGUUCUGGCUCCACUGCAGCAGAAUCAAGUUUAAAUGAAAAAAACACACAGCAAGUGAAGCGACAAGAGGAAUCCAUUAUGCAAAUCAUGUCACUUUGCAUAAUGUCUCAUGACUGGAAUAUGCAAAUGAGUUGUAUAAUUUAUGAGUGCCAGUGUCUGUCUAAAAGUGUUUCACAUAAUUUACAAAGUAAGCCUGAGAGACGGGUAAAAGCAGCUCUUCCAACUCCACUGCCAGGAAAGCCUUGUAUAUUCCCUCUAAGUGCCCCUCAUAAUAUUGUCAAGUGCUAUUUGAAAGAAAUUAAGGUUCCAAAUGUUCAUGAAGGACAAAGAUUUUC
Molecule: long non-coding RNA, 560 nt
Organism: Nannospalax galili (Upper Galilee mountains blind mole rat)
Lineage: Eukaryota; Metazoa; Chordata; Mammalia; Rodentia; Spalacidae
Exons: 3
Source: RefSeq, a predicted model, not a curated record